Molecule: transfer RNA, 132 nt
Filed under: Metallosphaera sedula DSM 5348
Lineage: Archaea; Thermoproteati; Thermoproteota; Thermoprotei; Sulfolobales; Sulfolobaceae
Also listed under: 1 other name
Rfam family: tRNA
About the family: Transfer RNA (tRNA) molecules are approximately 80 nucleotides in length. Their secondary structure includes four short double-helical elements and three loops (D, anti-codon, and T loops).
Source: Rfam by way of RNAcentral
GGGCCCAUAGCUCAGCCAGGUUAGAGUGCUGGGCUCCAGAUAUCAGCAUUGGGUCUGUCGACCCGAAAGGGGAUGAAAUAUAUCUGGAAUGGAGAGACCCAGUGGUCCGGGGUCCGAAUCCCCGUGGGCCCA